CCCUUAGAGUUUGAUCCUGGCUCAGGACGAACGCUGGCGGCGUGCCUAAUACAUGCAAGUCGAGCGAGCUUGCCUAGAUGAAUUUGGUGCUUGCACCAAAUGAAACUAGAUACAAGCGAGCGGCGGACGGGUGAGUAACACGUGGGUAACCUGCCCAAGAGACUGGGAUAACACCUGGAAACAGAUGCUAAUACCGGAUAACAACACUAGACGCACGUCUAGAGUUUAAAAGAUGGUUCUGCUAUCACUCUUGGAUGGACCUGCGGUGCAUUAGCUAGUUGGUAAGGUAACGGCUUACCAAGGCAAUGAUGCAUAGCCGAGUUGAGAGACUGAUCGGCCACAUUGGGACUGAGACACGGCCCAAACUCCUACGGGAGGCAGCAGUAGGGAAUCUUCCACAAUGGACGCAAGUCUGAUGGAACAACGCCGCGUGAGUGAAGAAGGGUUUCGGCUCGU
This 456-nucleotide ribosomal RNA is filed under the name uncultured bacterium. RNAcentral's name for it is "bacterial SSU rRNA". It matches the Rfam family "Bacterial small subunit ribosomal RNA", at positions 1 to 426 of the family's 1533-position model. The record is from RNAcentral.